AUCUGUCCAGUCUGUUAGCAACCUAGUAGAUGAACAAAAUAAACAAUCAUGGGAGACCAUGAAGCAACAUAACAGUUAUGGUGGAGAAAACAUGUUGGCGUCUGUAGACAAAAUUUGAGUCGCCCUAAGGGAAAAAGUGGCGUCUGGCGAAGAAGGUUUCACAAACAUUACGAUUGUGCAGAAAAACGUUGCACUUGAGGUUAAAAAAGUUAACAAGCAAGAUAUUGUUUUUCCUUACGCAGACAUUAAGAUUGAUCAGCACCAAGAUCAAAUUAGGGCGAAAACCUCCGACAGCAGUAUUCGACUGAAGGCGAAGGCAAUUGGUGAUACCGAAGUUAUUGUGACCGUUGUGAUUUAUAAAGAUAUGAGCCAUGUUUUACCAAAUACUUCAGAAACACCUAUAGGAGUCAAGACAAAAGAUCAGCAAAUAAAUGGUCCUAUUCUUUCACUUUCUCUCUCCAAUCACUUCGGAAAGCUGAAUCCGCCUGUAUUGCUGACAUUUGAACGAAUGAAGGCAAACCUCACAAGCCCUGUUUGCAGUUACUGGACGUUUGGAAGGCCGACGCAGCGUCUGUGCCAUUACGAACGUUAUCAACUGUGGGAAUGGGGAUUUCAAUGGCAUGUCUGCUGAUCACAAUGUUGACAUACAUAUAUCUCUGGAGGUUCCUGAAAAGUGACAGGACAAUUUUGCUUUUGAAUCUAUGUGGCGCGCUAAUGCUGUCAUACAUUAUAUUUUUAGCUGGUGUAGACAAAACUGCCAGCAAGGCUCUGUGUGCAACAACCGCAGUAUUUCUACACUACAUAUACUUAGUAGUGUUUUGUCUGAUGCUGGCAGAAGGUAUAGACAUAGUCAUCAUGGCGGUGUACGUAUUCAUCACCAAAUCAAGACUGAAGCC
This is a long non-coding RNA of Dreissena polymorpha, 896 nucleotides long. RefSeq lists it as uncharacterized. The transcript is spliced from 8 exons. NCBI's taxonomy places the organism in Eukaryota, Metazoa, Mollusca, Bivalvia, Myida, Dreissenidae. The record is from RefSeq and is a predicted model, not a curated record.